CCCGAAGAUAAGUGAGCUACUUUUAUUCUGUUAAGAAUAAAACCAAAAAUGUAGCAAAAAUUUUUUGAGAAAUAAAAGUAGAGSUUAAAUGCCUACGCACUUAUUGAUAUCUGGUUACUUUCAAAAUAUUUAAAUAUAACUUUAUUUAAGUACAUUAUCUUUAGGACAAGCUACAGAUAAAAUUAGAGAUAUUUAAUUUUUAAAAAUUAAAUUUUCUUAGGCUUAACAAUAGCCAAAUAAUAUUCUGUAACAAGCUGAAUAUAUAAUUUUUAUAAAUUAUAUCAAAAAUAUUCUCACAUAGAAAGUGAUUUUGAAAAACUUUUUCAUAAAACAUAAUGAUAAUAUUAGUAUGACAUACAUUUUAAAAAUAAAUUUAUUUUUCAAAAUAUUUUAAGGAACUCGGCAAAUGGGGCCACGACUGUUUAACAAAGACAUAGCUUCUAGAAAUUAUUAGAAGUGAUACCUGCCCAGUGUUAUAUAAACGGCCGCGAAAGUGCUAAGGUAGCAAAAUAAUUUGUCUUUUUAUUGAAGACCAGUAUGAAUGGAUGAACGAAGCCCAACUGUCUCCCUAUAUUUAAACAAAACUUUAUGAAUAAGUGAAAAAUCUUAUCCUUUUAUGAAGGACGAGAAGACCCUAUAGAGUUUAAGUAAAAACUUUUACUAAAAAUUAAAAGUAUUACUUUUGUUGGGGCAACAUAAGAACCACAAAAAUCUUAUAAAUAUAUAACCUCAAAGAGAAUACAAAAAACUACCUUAGGGAUAACAGCGUAAUCUUACCAGAGAGAUCUAAUCGAAGGUGAGGUUUGCGACCUCGAUGUUGGACUAAGAAUACCCUUUUAUGUAGAAGUAAAAGAAAGUAAGCCUGUUCGGCUUUUAAAAUCUUACAUGAUCUGAGUUCAGGUCGGCGCAAGCUAGUCCGGUUUCUAUCCUCAUAAAAAUAUAACUUAUCUUUAUAUUACGAAAGGAACCAAAGAU
Molecule: ribosomal RNA, 975 nt
Filed under: Escharoides angela
Lineage: Eukaryota; Metazoa; Bryozoa; Gymnolaemata; Cheilostomatida; Romancheinidae
Description: partial 16S ribosomal RNA
Rfam family: Archaeal large subunit ribosomal RNA (bases 613-937)
Source: RNAcentral